Molecule: long non-coding RNA, 1141 nt
Filed under: Marmota monax (woodchuck)
Lineage: Eukaryota; Metazoa; Chordata; Mammalia; Rodentia; Sciuridae
Source: RNAcentral
AGCAACUCAGGAGGUUGAGGCAGGAGGAUUUCGAGUCCAAAGCCAGUCUUAGCAAUGGCAAGAUGCUAAACUAUUUAUUCAGUGAGACCCUGUCUCUAAAUAAAAUACAAAAUAUGACUGAGGAUGUGGCUCACUGGUUGAAUGCCCCUGAGUUCAAUCCCUAGUACUCCCCCUCUGCCAAAAAUAAAGAAAAUUGGAGAGAUCCCAAGUAAACAGGCUAAUGAUGCAUCUCAAGGCCCUUGAAAAAGAAGAACAAGCCAAUUCUAAAACAAGUAGAUGAAAGGAAAUAAUUAAGAUCAGAACUUAAACAAUGAAAUUGAGAAUAAAAUAAGAACAAAGGAUCAAUGAAACAAAGUUGAUUUUUUGAAAAUAUAAACAAGAUUGAUAAGUUGUUAUGGUUUGGAUGUGAGAUGUCCCCCAAAAGCUCAUGUAUGAGUCAAUGAAAGAAGGUUUAGAGGAGAAAUGAUUGAAUUGUGAGGGCCUUAACCCAAUCAGUGAAUCAGUCAUCUGAUGGGAUUAACUUUGUGGUGAUUGAAGGCAAGUAGGGAAUGGCUGAAGGAGGUCUGGCAGUGAGGGUGUGGCUUUGGGGUAUAUAUUUGUAUUUAGCAAGUGGAGAUCUCUCUCUCUCUCUGCUUUCUGAUCAUCAUGUGAGCUGCUUCCCUCCACCACACUUUUCCACCAUGAUGUCCUGCCUCACCUUGAGCCCAGAGGAAAGGAGCCUACAGUCAAUGGACUGAGACCUCUGAAACAGUGAACCCCCAAAUAAAAAUUUUCUCCUCUACAAUUGUGCUGGCUGGGUCUUUUAGUCACAGUGGCAAAAAACAAAAACAAAAAACUGACUAAAACGUAAGUCAGACUAACCAAAAGAAAAAGAGAGAAGACCUAAAUUAAUAAUAUUAAUAAAUUAGAGACUAAAAAGGAGAAAUCACUUGAGACAUCACAAAAAUCCAAUGGAUCAUUAGGGACCAUUUUGAAAACUUAUGCUCCAAUAAACUGGAAAAUCUAGAAGAAAUGGAUACAUUUUUAGACACAUAAGAUCUGCCAAAAUUUAAUCAAGAAGACAUACAAAACCUAAACAGACCAACAACUUGUAAUGGAAUAGAAGCAGCAAUGAAAAGCCUUCCAACAAAGAAAAGCCCAG